AUCCAGUGACGAGUUCCAAAUAGGACGAAAUGCGCAUCCUGGAU
This 44-nucleotide non-coding RNA is filed under the name Trichobilharzia regenti. The record is from RNAcentral. Lineage: Eukaryota; Metazoa; Platyhelminthes; Trematoda; Strigeidida; Schistosomatidae.